AGCGGAUAUAAAGCAGGCAGAAAAACAUGAAAAGGAGAGUCAGGCCUGGCCUCCCAGCUUCCAUCUUUCUCCUGUGCUGGAUGCUUCCUGGACUCGAACAUCAGACUCCAAGUUCUUCAGUUUUGGGACUUGAACUGGCUCUCCUUGCUCCUCAGCCUGCAGACGACCUAUUGCAGGACCUUGUGAUUGUCGCUCUUCAGGGACUGAGCUCUGGGGAUUGCAGCCUUAUAAGCGUCGCAUGCUGCACUGAGCUUCUACAGUGAGCCCUGCACAAAUCCAUCUCCAUUCUUCAAAACAACCUGGGGAGCCCUGGAGUGAUCUCAGAUUCAGCCCCAAGAUACCGGUCUCCCUAUGUUACCCAAGCUGGUCUUGAACUCCUGCCCUCAAGCAAUCCUCCUGCCUUGGCCUCUCGAGGCACUGGGAUUAUAUGUGUGAGCCACUACACCCAGCCCCAAAUUUCCCCUUUAUAUCAGGACACCAGCCCACCCUAACACCCUCAUUUAACUUAAUGACCUCCAUAAAGACCCUAUCUCCUAAUAAAUUCACGUUCUGCAAUACUAGGGUUAGGACUCAACAUACGGUCUCGGGGGCAGGGGACAUAAUGUAACCCAUAACAGAGGGCAUCUUCAUGCUCUUCGUGGGAGGCCUGAACCCAUUUCCACGCAAAAGAGUGGAUCCUAGUGGGUUUAGUCAACCAUGGAGGGAUGGGGGAAGGCGAAGGGAUCCGUGCAUUCCUCCUGGGGAGCCGAG
RNAcentral lists this long non-coding RNA (750 nucleotides) under Homo sapiens (human). RNAcentral describes it as "HSALNT0300466". Lineage: Eukaryota; Metazoa; Chordata; Mammalia; Primates; Hominidae. The record is from RNAcentral.